GGUAUUAUCUUUAAAGGGGUAGGUAAAGAUUAUAAGUGGGAUGCCAUGCAGGAGUACCUUGUUUCGGGGCGCAUACCCAGCCUGAAGGCCAACCUUAAUGAAGAAGUACUGCUCAGCAAAACCCUGGCCAAUAAACUACAGCUUAACCUGGGCGAUAAAUUCAAUACCUAUUUUAUGAAAGAAGGCGGCAACGGCAUGCCAAACCUGCGCCGUUUUGAGCUGGUAGGUAUAUAUGAGUCGGGCUUUGGUGAGUUUGAUGCCACUUAUAUGAUAGGUGAUAUUCGCCAUGUGCAGCGCAUAAACAAGUGGCGCAAUGGCGAAGUAGGCGCUUUUGAAGUAUUUAUAGAUGACUUUACUAAAAUAUCUGAAAAGGGGGAGGAAGUGUAUAAAGCCAUACCCAGCACCCUAAAUGCCGAAACCAUACAGGAAAAAUACAUUAAUAUAUUUGAGUGGCUCAGGCUGUUUGAUGUAAAUAUUAUGGUAAUCAUUAUUAUUAUGGUGGUUGUAGCUACUAUAAAUAUGGUGGUGGCCAUACUGGUUCUUAUCCUGGAGCGCACCCAAAUGGUAGGCAUGCUCAAGGCACUUGGGGCAAAUAACUGGAGCGUGCGCAAAAUUUUCCUGUACAAUUCGGCCUACCUUAUUAUAAAAGGGCUGCUUUGGGGCAACGGAAUUGCAUUUGCAUUGCUGCUUGCGCAGAAGUAUUUUGGCAUAAUUACCCUCGAUCCGCAAAAUUAUUAUGUAAGUGUGGCACCGGUAUCACUACAUCUGCCGGCCAUUUUAAUAAUAAAUGUAGGUACAAUUGCUGUUUGUACCGCCCUUUUAUUAAUCCCGUCUUAUAUAAUAACAAAGAUUUCUCCGGUAAAAGCACUUCGUUUCGACUAAGGCAACUAUCAAAAUCUGUUGUUUUUUCAGAAACCGGUACUGCUGAAUGAAAAUUCUUCAAAAACCUUGUUUUUGUAAGUGUUCGUAUUAUCAGAAUGUUAAGAAAAAGUUUUAAAAAAAGUGUUUUAAAAGUUUGCGAAAGUGCAAAAGGGUGUUACUUUUGCACCCGCAAUCAAGCAACGUUCUACACUUACUGAAAACAACGGCAAAGCUGGUUUUACAUCAGAAAAGUCUUCAAAAAAAUAAAUUUGAAAAAAGUUGUUGAAAGAUUAGGAAGUAAAGAAAAAGUUACUACUUUUGCACCCGCUACAACAGCGACGCUCUUAGAAAGAUUGAAAGACGGAUUGGUUAACAGAAAAGCUGAGUUACUAUAAAGAAUGAGGUUUUGGAAUUAGCCAAAAAGUUUAAAAAAAAGUUUUAAAAAAGCUUGGAUUUAAAGGGGAAAAGAUUUUAUCUUUGCCCUCCCAAACUGAGAGGUUCGGGACAUAAUGAGAGGUUAAAGUGAAGCUUUAAACGGUAAGAAAAAAANAUGGCCAACGGGUUAAUAUUCCCGUACUUCUUAUAAUUGUGAUGGGGCGACGGAGUGAUGAAAGCACCGCGAACUGACGGAAUAGUUCGUUAAAGUACCUAGCUAUAGGAUUUGUAGUUAAAUGCGCAGAUUCUGGUGAAAUACGAUAGUACUCAGAGCCUUCGGGCAAAGAGAUAGUGUGCCUAAGGGCUUCCAAGAAAAACCUCUAAACUUAGAUUAUAAGAACCCGUACCGUAAACCGACACAGGUAGUCGAGGAGAGUAUCCUAAGGCGCUCGAGAGAUUCAUGGCUAAGGAAUUAGGCAAAAUAGACCUGUAACUUCGGGAGAAAGGUCGCCAGCAGCAAUGCUGGCCGCAGUGAAAAGGUCCAGGCGACUGUUUAUCAAAAACACAGGGCUCUGCAAAAUCGUAAGAUGAAGUAUAGGGCCUGACACCUGCCCGGUGCUGGAAGGUUAAGAGGAGAUGUUAUCUUCGGAGAAGCAUUGAAUUGAAGCCCCAGUAAACGGCGGCCGUAACUAUAACGGUCCUAAGGUAGCGAAAUUCCUUGUCGGGUAAGUUCCGACCUGCACGAAUGGUGUAACGAUCUGGACACUGUCUCAGCCAUGAGCUCGGUGAAAUUGUAGUAUCGGUGAAGAUGCCGAUUACCCGCAGUGGGACGAAAAGACCCUGUGCACCUUUACUAUAGCUUAGUAUUGACCUUGGAUAAGUGAUGUGUAGGAUAGGUGGGAGACUGUGAAUCGGGUUCGCCAGGAUUCGAGGAGUCAUUGUUGAAAUACCACCCUUUGCUUAUCUGAGGCCUAACCCCGCGUUGCGGGGGACAUUGCUUGGUGGGUAGUUUGACUGGGGUGGUCGCCUCCAAAAGAGUAACGGAGGCUUCUAAAGGUUCCCUCAGCACGCUUGGUAACCGUGCGUAGAGUGCAAUGGCAUAAGGGAGCUUGACUGAGAGACAUACAGGUCGAUCAGGUACGAAAGUAGAGCAUAGUGAUCCGGUGGUUCCGUAUGGAAGGGCCAUCGCUCAAAGGAUAAAAGGUACGCCGGGGAUAACAGGCUGAUCUCCCCCAAGAGCUCAUAUCGACGGGGGGGUUUGGCACCUCGAUGUCGGCUCGUCACAUCCUGGGGCUGGAGAAGGUCCCAAGGGUUGGGCUGUUCGCCCAUUAAAGUGGCACGCGAGCUGGGUUCAGAACGUCGUGAGACAGUUCGGUCUCUAUCUACUGCGGGCGUUAGAAAUUUGCGUGGAUCUGAUUCUAGUACGAGAGGACCGAGUCGGACGAACCACUGGUGUAUCUGUUGUCCCGCCAGGGGCACCGCAGAGUAGCCACGUUCGGAAGGGAUAAGCGCUGAAAGCAUAUAAGCGCGAAACCCACCACAAGAUGAGAUUUCUUUUAAGGGUCGUGGAAGAUGACCACGUUGAUAGGCUACAGGUGUAAAGGCAGUAAUGUCAUAGCCGAGUAGUACUAAUAACCCGUAAGCUUAUGUAC
RNAcentral lists this ribosomal RNA (2888 nucleotides) under Flavobacterium akiainvivens. Its description in RNAcentral is "bacterial LSU rRNA". The stretch from base 1236 to 2888 matches the Rfam family "Bacterial large subunit ribosomal RNA". Lineage: Bacteria; Pseudomonadati; Bacteroidota; Flavobacteriia; Flavobacteriales; Flavobacteriaceae. The record is from RNAcentral.